This 428-nucleotide ribosomal RNA is filed under the name Bacteroidota bacterium. RNAcentral's name for it is "Bacteroidetes bacterium partial 16S ribosomal RNA". It matches the Rfam family "Bacterial small subunit ribosomal RNA", at positions 355 to 776 of the family's 1533-position model. The record is from RNAcentral. Lineage: Bacteria; Pseudomonadati; Bacteroidota.
UAGGGAAUCUUCCGCAAUGGACGCAAGUCUGACGGAGCAACGCCGCGUGAGUGAAGAAGGAUUUCGGUUCGUAAAACUCUGUUGUUAGAGAAGAACAGCGCAUAGAGUAACUGUUAUGCGUGUGACGGUAUCUAACCAGAAAGCCACGGCUAACUACGUGCCAGCAGCCGCGGUAAUACGUAGGUGGCAAGCGUUGUCCGGAUUUAUUGGGCGUAAAGCGAGCGCAGGCGGUUAGAAAAGUCUGAAGUGAAAGGCAGUGGCUCAACCAUUGUAGGCUUUGGAAACUGUUUAACUUGAGUGCAGAAGGGGAGAGUGGAAUUCCAUGUGUAGCGGUGAAAUGCGUAGAUAUAUGGAGGAACACCGUUGGCGAAAGCGGCUCUCUGGUCUGUAACUGACGCUGAGGCUCGAAAGCGUGGGGAGCGAACAGG